GACGAACGCUGGCGGCGUGCUUAACACAUGCAAGUCGAACGGAAAGGCCCUGCUUUUGUGGGGUGCUCGAGUGGCGAACGGGUGAGUAACACGUGAGUAACCUGCCCUUGACUUUGGGAUAACUUCAGGAAACUGGGGCUAAUACCGGAUAGGAGCUCCUGCUGCAUGGUGGGGGUUGGAAAGUUUCGGCGGUUGGGGAUGGACUCGCGGCUUAUCAGCUUGUUGGUGGGGUAGUGGCUUACCAAGGCUUUGACGGGUAGCCGGCCUGGGAGGGUGACCGGCCACAUUGGGACUGAGAUGCGGCCCAGACUCCUACGGGAGGCAGCAGUGGGGAAUAUUGCACAAUGGGCGGAAGCCUGAUGCAGCAACGCCGCGUGCGGGAUGACGGCCUUCGGGUUGUAAACCGCUUUCGCCUGUGACGAAGCGUGAGUGACGGAAAUGGGUAAAGAAGCACCGGCUAACUACGG
RNAcentral lists this ribosomal RNA (467 nucleotides) under uncultured bacterium. RNAcentral's name for it is "partial 16S ribosomal RNA". It matches the Rfam family "Bacterial small subunit ribosomal RNA", at positions 28 to 506 of the family's 1533-position model. The record is from RNAcentral.